RNAcentral lists this ribosomal RNA (253 nucleotides) under uncultured bacterium. Its description in RNAcentral is "partial 16S ribosomal RNA". It matches the Rfam family "Bacterial small subunit ribosomal RNA", at positions 524 to 776 of the family's 1533-position model. The record is from RNAcentral.
UACGUAGGGUCCGAGCGUUGUCCGGAAUUACUGGGCGUAAAGAGCUCGUAGGUGGUUUGUCGCGUUGUUCGUGAAAACUCACAGCUUAACUGUGGGCGUGCGGGCGAUACGGGCAGACUUGAGUACUGCAGGGGAGACUGGAAUUCCUGGUGUAGCGGUGGAAUGCGCAGAUAUCAGGAGGAACACCGGUGGCGAAGGCGGUUCUCUGGGCAUGUCCUGACGCUGAGGAGCGAAAGUGUGGGGAGCGAACAGG